GGAAGGAUCAUUAUUUUAAUCAAUACAUCCAACUUACUUAAGUAAGCCUAAUGUCUAGAAUCGUAGAGCGGGAUAACGUCUGUUAUGUUCGAUGUGGACACCAUUACGCCGCGUGUAAAUGGCGAUUAUGUUUUGUUUUACACUGACCUGGCUUUUAAGUUAUUAGGGCGGUUGUUGCCGUCACGAAGCCAGCAAGUAUUGCUACGCUGGCACUUUUAAUCUUUAUUUUACGAACAUGAAAGUUGAAACGAUAAAUUUCGUCUUAUCGGUGGAUCACUCGGUUCUUGCAACGAUGAAGAACGCAGCAAAGCGCGAUAUGAAAUGCGAAUUGCACAAUUAGUGAAUCAUCAUAUUUUUGAACGCAUUAUGCACCAAUAAACUUAAUUUAAUGGUAUGCUUUUCUGAGUGUCGAACCCAAAUUUCGCAUUUAUGCAGAAGUCACCUUUCUAUUACCUUAGUUUUAGUUUCGUAGUUAAUGGUUUAAGAUGCUGAAACCAUCUCAUCGGACGGCGACUUCAAAGGUUUACAAUACCUUUGAAUCAAAAAGAUGCGAAUAGUUUUACCGGCAUAUGUCUUCCCGCGGAAUUACAGAUCUCAGAUAAAGUAAGAGCACCUGCCUAAUUUAAGCAUAUAAAUAAGCAGAGGAAAAGAAAUCAACAGAGAUUCCCUUAGUAACGGCGAGUGAAGCGGGAAUAGCCCAUCCUGAAAUGCUCUCGAUCGAAAGCAUAAUGUAGGGUGAGAAACCACUUUCAGCAACAAGUUACAUCAAAGUCUCUCUGGAAAGAAGCGACAUAGUGGGUGAAAUUCCUUUUACUGGUUUAACAGCGUGGUGUACGAAAUGGUUUUCUAGAGUAGGCUUGUUUGUGAUUGCAAGCUGAAUAGGGAGGUAAUCUUCUUCCAAGGCUAAAUAUUAACAAGAGACCGAUAGCGAACAAGUACCAUGAGGGAAAGUUGAAAAGCACUCUGAAGAGAGAGUCAACAAGAACGUGAAACCGCUAAGGUGGAAGGGAUGGACGCCAGUAAUAUUAAGGGUGACGCUUUUGUUCUAAAUCUAGCAUCGCUUAAGUGUGUCAUUUGCGUGUCUACUGCAAUGCCGUUUAAGAUUUGCUGGAGAAGUUCAAAUUGUCAUAAAUGAUAUCCAGGAUGAAUUUUGUUUCUGCAACGCGUCGAUUGAAAAGGUAUGAGGACUGUUUCAGUUCCUCAGCUUUAUAGACCAAUUUGAGCGCUUUUUCGCAAGAGACAGGAUUCAUGAAUUUGCCAAGGUGCUAGCGGACUUAGGCCUGCUUGAUGCAUUUGCAUUCGCCUUCGAGAUUCCUGGAAAAAUGGCGUCCAUUCUCCCGUCUUGAAACACGGACCGGGGAGUUUUACCUCUGUGCAAGUCAAAGAGUUCAAGCUCGUUGGCGCAAUGAAAUUGAAGAGAGUAUUGAGGUGGCAAGCCUUUAGGUGUUUCCAUCGCCCGGCCUCCUAAUUACGGAGAGGUACGAGGAUGAGCAUAGAGGCAGAGACCCGAAAGAUGGUGAACUAUACUUGAGCAGAAUGAAGCCAGGGGAAACCCUGGUGGAAGUUCGUCGCGGUACUGACGUGCAAAUCGUUCGUCCGACUUGAGUAUAGGGGCGAAAGACUAAUCGAACCAUCUAGUAGCUGGUUCCCUC
This 1652-nucleotide unclassified non-coding RNA is filed under the name uncultured fungus. RNAcentral's name for it is "sequence contains 18S rRNA gene, ITS1, 5.8S rRNA gene, ITS2, 28S rRNA gene". The stretch from base 590 to 1652 matches the Rfam family "Eukaryotic large subunit ribosomal RNA", at positions 1 to 961 of the family's 3401-position model. The record is from RNAcentral. Lineage: Eukaryota; Fungi.